GAUGAACGCUGGCGGCGUGCCUAAUACAUGCAAGUCGAGCGAACGGACGAGUAGCUUGCUUCUCUGAUGUUUGCGGCGGACGUGUGUGUAACACGUGGAUAACCUCCCUAUAAGACUGUGAUCACUUCGGGACACCGUUGCUAAUACCGGCUAAUAUUUUGUACCGCAUGGUUCCCUUGUGACCUACGGUCUUGCUGUCACUUAUUGAUUGAUCCGCGCUGCAUUAGCUAGUUGGUAUGGUAACGGCUUACCAAGGCAACGAUGCAUAGCCGACCUGAGAGGGGGAACGGCCACACGGGAACUGAGACACGGACCAGACGCCUACGGGAGGCAGCAGUAGGGAAUGUUGGGCAAUGGGCGAAAGCAUGACGGAGCAACGCCGCGUGAGUGAAGAAGGUCUUCGGAUCGUAAAACACUGUUAUGAGGGAAGAAAAUAUGGGUAAGAAAAUGGGCAGAGGAUGACGGUACCGAAAGAGAAAGCAACGGCUAACUACGUG
RNAcentral lists this ribosomal RNA (497 nucleotides) under uncultured bacterium. RNAcentral's name for it is "partial 16S ribosomal RNA". It matches the Rfam family "Bacterial small subunit ribosomal RNA", at positions 28 to 507 of the family's 1533-position model. The record is from RNAcentral.